UACGUAGGGGGCAAGCGUUAUCCGGAUUCACUGGGCGUAAAGGGAGCGCAGGCGGCAUGGCAAGUCUGAUGUGAAAACCCGGGGCCCAACCCCGGGGGUGCAUUGGAAACUGCCAGGCUGGAGUGUCGGAGGGGUAAGCGGAAUUCCUAGUGUAGCGGUGAAAUGCGUAGAUAUUAGGAGGAACACCAGUGGCGAAGGCGGCUUACUGGACGACUACUGACGCUGAGGCUCGAAAGCGUGGGGAGCAAACAGG
This 253-nucleotide ribosomal RNA is filed under the name uncultured bacterium. RNAcentral's name for it is "partial 16S ribosomal RNA". It matches the Rfam family "Bacterial small subunit ribosomal RNA", at positions 524 to 776 of the family's 1533-position model. The record is from RNAcentral.